Molecule: non-coding RNA, 1549 nt
Organism: Triticum urartu
Lineage: Eukaryota; Viridiplantae; Streptophyta; Magnoliopsida; Poales; Poaceae
Source: RefSeq, a predicted model, not a curated record
CAUCCACCUCGUCGCCUCCCAUCUCCUUCCUCCCCCUCCCUCCCCCACAUUCCCUUUUCGCCCCUCCUUCCCGGACCACGAUGGCGCCCGCAUCGGCUCCAGCGCUGCCACGCUCCACGUCGUUGCCUCCCUUGCCCGCCACCUCGUCUCCCAGGCCACCAAGGAAGAGAUCGCCGAAUUCCUCCCCGAAACGACCGGCUCCUCCGCUGAUGACGUCCCGCUAGCAUCUGUGGUGCGCUUGAUGGCCACCAAGAACAUGCUACUGUUGCACACCAGCGGCGACAUCAAGAGGGUUCCGUGGGCGAACCCCAUGGGGAAGGCCUUCCUGCCGGUGCCUUACCUGGCCGGGGACAACCCCGACGGGCCUGUCCCGCUGCUCUUCGACCACAUCAGGGGGAUCCAGCGCAAGGCAAGCAUUCAAGACCGGCAUCGGCAAGUCCAACCUGAUCUCCCGCUUCACCCGCAACGAGUUCAGCCUCGAGUCCAAGUCCACCAUCAGGGGGUCGAAUUCGCCACCGGCUCCCUCUAGGUCGACGGCAAGGUCGUGAAGGCCCAGAUUUGGGACACCGCCGGCUCUUCCUAUCCCCGUCUGUUCGGCAGCAGUUGUGGAGACCAUGGAUGGGACUAUCGUAGUUGCUUCUGCGUUUUGCGGGCAUCAGGAAGUAAUGCUCCUCUUCCUCGACCACCCGAACAACCAUGCCGGUGGGCUCCUGAAGCAUCAACUUCAAUAAUGGUGACCCUAGAGCUAGCUAGUUUAGUCUGCUACGGUUUGGGGGUGCUUUGGGUUUCAAUUCACUACAGCAGAAGCACCAUUCUUUUGCCUUUUUCAGUUAGAUGCCUUUGGAUUGUUUGGCUUUUGGUAGAUGCAGAGUAUAGAUUAAGUAUUCCAUAAAAUUCACCACAUGAGUAUACUACUUAAUAGCCAAUUUUCGUGGUCAAAUUCAGCCCUGGAUGCAAAUGGACAUCAUGAUUCUGUUAUGCACCGAGGUCGGUGGUCGAAUUCUCGAUUGGUGUGGAACACCAUGGACAGGGCAAAAUCAGUGUGCUUUGAAACAUAGGGCGAAUCUUGUGGAGGAGUAGGGCGAAUCGGACAUUGUCUCGCUUGUGCUGCUGUGAUAACAUGUUGAAUGUUGUUCAUGCGACUGUGUAUGAAUCUUCUGUACGUGCAGAUUAUCAGGCAUUAUUUAAUGCUGUUGGGGGUGUAACAAAGUGUUUGAACCAACAACAGAAAAAUCAGUUUGAUGUAUGGAUGCUUCAUGCGGUGGUAGCUAAUGAUCUCUGUACUGAUGACAGUUUUCUGAUCAGGAUCUAAUGUCGUCGAGGUGGCUGCUACUCUUACCGAAGAUCAGAAGAAGCCUGGAUAUAUGCACCAAGUUUUAGUUGAUGUUGCCACCAAGUUUUGGUUCAUGUGUAUUUGUUUUUUGAUUGUAUGUACACUUGUUGGAUCGUGCAGUAUGUGCUAUUGUACAUGUGCUAUUGUGAGUUUCGUUGAUAGAUUUUUGGAUUUGAUCAUUUAAUUGAGAGAAUGUUUGACUGUUUGCUGUUGAAA